GGGGCCGUUUUUGGUUUUGACUGCAAGGAUAAUGGACUUGUAAGCAUGUCGAGCAAUUGUUAUUUAACUCGUAAAACUGUAUGGCAAAACUAUAGAAGGCAAUAAUAAUAAUUAUGCUCUCGCUGCGUAACCGAAGUUUAGUAAGUUAACGCUUAAUUCUGCACAAGCUUGCAGAACGAGAUGUCUCACAAGAAGGAUUUCCUGAUUCCUUUUUGAAUUGAGGCACCGAUAACAUCAGGAUAGUUUCAGUAGGGCUUCGAUACUGAAAUGAAAUUUAAGAAGCUAAGCAUAAAUUUUGGGUGCUCUUUCCCGAGUUUAUGUCGAAAAUUAAUAAAGAGAUAAGCAUGUAGAAAGCAUUUCUGUUACUUGUUUGGACGCGGGUUCGACUCCCGCCGGCUCCACUA
Molecule: transfer-messenger RNA, 404 nt
Filed under: Bacteroidales
Lineage: Bacteria; Pseudomonadati; Bacteroidota; Bacteroidia
Also listed under: 1 other name
Description: JAADGE01 sp013153575 Standard tmRNA
Rfam family: transfer-messenger RNA
About the family: Bacterial tmRNA, also known as 10Sa RNA or SsrA, is named for its dual tRNA and mRNA-like properties.
Source: RNAcentral